UGCAAGUCGAGGGGUAUAGAGAGCUUGCUUUCUAGAGACCGGCGGAUGGGUGAGUAACGCGUAUGCAACCUACCUUUUACAGGGGAAUAGCCCGGAGAAAUUCGGAUUAAUGCUCCAUGGUUUAUAGAUGUGGCAUCACAUUUAUAAUAAAGAUUUAUCGGUAAAAGAUGGGCAUGCGUAUCAUUAGCUAGUUGGUGUGGUAACGGCAUACCAAGGCUACGAUGAUUAGGGGUCCUGAGAGGGAGAUCCCCCACACUGGUACUGAGACACGGACCAGACUCCUACGGGAGGCAGCAGUGAGGAAUAUUGGUCAAUGGAGGCAACUCUGAACCAGCCAUGCCGCGUGCAGGAUGACGGUCCUAUGGAUUGUAAACUGCUUUUGUACGGGAAGAAAUGUAAUUACGUGUAAUUAUUUGACGGUACCGUAAGAAUAAGGAUCGGCUAACUCCGUGCCAGCAGCCGCGGUAAUACGGAGGAUCCGAGCGUUAUCCGGAAUUAUUGGGUUUAAAGGGUUCGUAGGCGGUUUAGUAAGUCAGUGGUGAAAUCUUGCAGCUUAACUGUAAAAUUGCCGUUGAUACUGCUAAACUUGAAUAGUAUGGAAGUAAUUAGAAUAUGUAGUGUAGCGGUGAAAUGCUUAGAUAUUACAUGGAAUACCAAUUGCGAAGGCAGAUUACUACGUACUUAUUGACGCUGAUGAACGAAAGCGUGGGUAGCGAACAGGAUUAGAUACCCUGGUAGUCCACGCCGUAAACGAUGGAUACUAGCUGUUCGGUUUUCGGACUGAGUGGCU
This 790-nucleotide ribosomal RNA is filed under the name Myroides sp. 2P1F11. Its description in RNAcentral is "bacterial SSU rRNA". It matches the Rfam family "Bacterial small subunit ribosomal RNA", at positions 56 to 848 of the family's 1533-position model. The record is from RNAcentral. Lineage: Bacteria; Pseudomonadati; Bacteroidota; Flavobacteriia; Flavobacteriales; Flavobacteriaceae.